Molecule: unclassified non-coding RNA, 201 nt
Filed under: uncultured Russula
Lineage: Eukaryota; Fungi; Basidiomycota; Agaricomycetes; Russulales; Russulaceae
Description: sequence contains ITS2
Source: RNAcentral
ACAGCCUUCAACCUUUCUUGGUUUCUCGAUCAAGAAAGGCUUGGACUUUGGAGGUUUUAAUUGCUGGCCUCCCUCGAAGCCAGCUCCUCCUAAAUGGAUUAGUGGGGUCUGCAACCUUGACGUGAUAAGAUGUUUCUACGUCUUUGGUUUUGCACUGUUGCCCUGCUUCUAAUCGUCUUGCAUUCAGGACAGAGUCAUGAA